This 560-nucleotide ribosomal RNA is filed under the name Colletotrichum gloeosporioides. Its description in RNAcentral is "eukaryotic LSU rRNA". The stretch from base 187 to 340 matches the Rfam family "5.8S ribosomal RNA". The record is from RNAcentral. Lineage: Eukaryota; Fungi; Ascomycota; Sordariomycetes; Glomerellales; Glomerellaceae.
GAUGUAGCAUUUCGUGAGCGGAGGACUCCCUCCCUUUGUUGCACAUACCUGGUGGCUGUUGCUUCGGCGGGUAGGGUCUCCGCGACCCUCCCGGCCUCCCGCCUCCGGGCGGGUCGGCGCCCGCCGGAGGAUAACCAAACUCUGAUUUAACGACGUUUCUUCUGAGUGGUACAAGCAAAUAAUCAAAACUUUUAACAACGGAUCUCUUGGUUCUGGCAUCGAUGAAGAACGCAGCGAAAUGCGAUAAGUAAUGUGAAUUGCAGAAUUCAGUGAAUCAUCGAAUCUUUGAACGCACAUUGCGCCCGCCAGCAUUCUGGCGGGCAUGCCUGUUCGAGCGUCAUUUCAACCCUCAAGCUCUGCUUGGUGUUGGGGCCCUACAGCUGAUGUAGGCCCUCAAAGGUAGUGGCGGACCCUCUCGGAGCCUCCUUUGCGUAGUAACUUUACGUCUCGCACUGGGAUCCGGAGGGACUCUUGCCGUAAAACCCCCAAUUUUCCAAAGGUUGACCUCGGAUCAGGUAGGAAUACCCGCUGAACUUAAGCAUAUCAAUAAAGCGGAAGAA